UACGUAGGUGACAAGCGUUGUCCGGAAUUACUGGGCGUAAAGCGCGCGUAGGCGGCUUUGCAAGUCGGGUGUGAAAUCCCCAGGCUUAACCUGGGAACUGCAUUCGAGACUGCAUUUCUAGAGUAUGGGAGAGGGAAGUGGAAUUUCCGGUGUAGCGGUGAAAUGCGUAGAUAUCGGAAGGAACAUCAGUGGCGAAAGCGACUUCCUGGACCAAUACUGACGCUCAUGUGCGAAAGCGUGGGGAGCAAACAGG
RNAcentral lists this ribosomal RNA (253 nucleotides) under uncultured bacterium. RNAcentral's name for it is "partial 16S ribosomal RNA". It matches the Rfam family "Bacterial small subunit ribosomal RNA", at positions 524 to 776 of the family's 1533-position model. The record is from RNAcentral.